AGCAGCCGCGGUAAUUCCAGCUCCAAUAGCGUAUAUUAAAGUUGUUGCAGUUAAAAGCUCGUAGUUGAAUUUCGGGGUCAGCAGGUUGGUCGUGCCAAUGGUAUGCACUGGCCUUGGUGAUUCCUCCCUCUUGUAGAACCGUAAUGCCAUUAAGUUGGUGUUGCGGGGAAACAGGACUGUUACUUUGAAAAAAUUGAGUGUUUAAAGCAGGCUAACGCCUGAAUACAUUAGCAUGGAAUAAUGAAAUAGGACGAUCGAUCCUAUUUUGUUGGUUUCUAGGAUUGACGUAAUGAUUAAUAGGGAUAGUUGGGGGCAUUAGUAUUCAAUUGUCAGAGGUGAAAUUCUUGGAUUUAUUGAAGACUAACUACUGCGAAAGCAUUUGCCAAGGAUGGUUUCAUUAAUCAAGAACGAAAGUUAGGGAUCGAAGACGAUCAGAUACCGUCGUAGUCUUAACCAUAAACUAUGCCGA
RNAcentral lists this unclassified non-coding RNA (469 nucleotides) under uncultured Diversispora. RNAcentral's name for it is "SSU rRNA". It matches the Rfam family "Eukaryotic small subunit ribosomal RNA", at positions 569 to 1045 of the family's 1831-position model. The record is from RNAcentral. Lineage: Eukaryota; Fungi; Glomeromycota; Glomeromycetes; Diversisporales; Diversisporaceae.